Long non-coding RNA from Engraulis encrasicolus (European anchovy), 1310 nucleotides. RefSeq lists it as uncharacterized. The record is from RefSeq and is a predicted model, not a curated record. The transcript has 6 exons. Lineage: Eukaryota; Metazoa; Chordata; Actinopteri; Clupeiformes; Engraulidae.
GUUCUUCAGUUUACCUCAGCUGAACUCAACUAUUCGCCUGUGUCGCGUCUCGUCCAACACUGCACUGUCGUGACUUGAUCAUUCAAUGGUUCAGCCAUUCCUUGAUCGACCUGACACCAACAUUAGGCCUACUCGAUGUGUAUGAAGCAAGCUGCCCCUGCAUAAAGUGAGAGAAGAAGCCGCCACUGAAAAGCUUUUUGGACUGUCAUUUGAAGGACACAAAUGAAAGGACAGGAAUUCUGCUCUGUGGCGUUGGCCUCACUAUUUAUUCAAGAAGCCCUCGGACACCACCAGAAUGUAUGAAAAUUGUAAACAGUAGGCACAGUCAUUCCUUGAUCGACCUGGCAUCAACAUCGCUCGGUGUGUAUGAAGCUGCAAGUGAGAGAAGAAGCCGCCACUGAACACCUUUUUGGACUGUCAUGACUCAAAUGAAAGGACAGGACUUCUACUCUGCUGGGUCGGCCUCACUACAUAUUCAAGAAGCCCUCGGACGCCAUCAGAAUGUAUUAAUGUGAAGAGGCAACAAGGGAGAGAUGAACGCUAUCAAAAAUGUGGAGAUGGAUCUGGCAGCGGACCGCUUUGGCACACACCCAACAAGAAACAAAACAAUAAAGAAUACUAAAAUGCAUGAUUUGUAAGCAGCUCAUUUUUAAAAAACAUUGUUUGCUCUUGCUUGAAGGUGCACUGUGUAAAAUUGUGGCCAGAGUAGGUAUUGCAUCUAUGGUGCUCAUUGAAACUGUGCUGUCUACUGCUAAUUUAGAUUUUUGCAUGAAUACCAAAGUGUAGUGAGUUUUGCAGCUAAAAAUGUCUAUUUCUGGAAAUUCAAAAUAGCGGACCAUGGAGAAGAUCCCUCUUUUCAUGUAUGAAAAAUGCAAAUUUCCCAGUCAUGUUGAAUACUUUGGUGGUGGUAAAUAUCUGUUAAAAAGUUAACAUUUGUGAAUGGGCAUAAUGAAUUCUGGAAAUGAACAACUAAAAAUAUUCCACGGUCCACCUUUAAAUACAAAUCCGGAUCAGGCCCAGAUAAGGCCCAGAUAAGAUCCGGAUAUGGGCCAGAUGAGCCCCAACUGUGUAUUACGGAUCAGGCCCAGAUCAUGGUCAGAUGCGUAUUACGGACCUGGGCCAGAUCCAGCCCAGGUCGGCCACAAAUUCCAAACAUGUGGAUUGGACCUGGGCCAGAUCCAUUCCGGAUCCAUAAUCCGGACCUGUUCCAGCUCAGCGCCAUUGUAAAAUAAGAAACCGGGCCAGACCAGGAUUGCGGACCUGGCCCAAGUGCCUGCCAACAUCUGUCACAGAUCUGGGCCAGACCCAUU